CGUGGGAAUGUGAUUGGCCGUCGGUUCCCGCGGAAAUCAUGGUUCCCUCCCCGACACCUCCCACUCCGCCUUCCUGGCCUAUUACAAGAACUGUACGAAGACGGGUGUGGCCCGAAUUUUCAUUUUAUUGAACUGUUGGGGCCAGGGUAAGGAAGAAGCGGAGAGCACUAGAAGGCGCCAGACACCCGUUCAGCGACUGAAGGCCUGAGUGGGGAGCGCACCACUGAGGAGGAUUCUCUGGACCACCACCUCAUCUCACCCUCAAUCUAACUAUGGAAAUAAUGGAUAUGGGUAACAGAAGAAAGCAGAGCCUGUAUAUCUGAGGGAACGGGAGAACACGGGGAGAAUGGGAACACAGUGUAUCCCUCCAAUCCUGCCCACCCCAACUCACCGUGCACUGCUGGAGGACCCUGGGCUCUCCGUCUGCACUGAUCGGAACACCCAUUCCAGAAAACAGGCCAGGAGGCAGGCAAACAAGAAGAAGCCACCCAAGGUCAGAAAGAAAUAAGCAGCAGGGGUGAUGUCUGGCCGUAUGCCCAGCAAAGCCAGCCCCAGGAGGAAGGAGGCGCAGCACAGGUAGAGAAGCGGCUUCUCCAGUCUCCCCCACCACUGGCUUGGCACCAUGGCCCCUCCCCAGGCUCCUGCAAAAAGAUACACAGCUGUUGUGUCUAAACUAGCAAGUGGCAUCAUGGCUGAGUCAGAUUCCAAGACACCUUUCUGGGGUUUUAGGUUCUUCAAUCUCGAAUCAAAUAAAUGGGCAAAAUAAAUGAUCAGCAAGAUA
Molecule: long non-coding RNA, 781 nt
Organism: Pteropus alecto (black flying fox)
Lineage: Eukaryota; Metazoa; Chordata; Mammalia; Chiroptera; Pteropodidae
Exons: 3
Source: RefSeq, a predicted model, not a curated record